This 320-nucleotide ribosomal RNA is filed under the name uncultured eukaryote. Its description in RNAcentral is "partial 18S ribosomal RNA". It matches the Rfam family "Eukaryotic small subunit ribosomal RNA", at positions 1470 to 1796 of the family's 1831-position model. The record is from RNAcentral.
CCCCUAGAUGUUCUGGGCCGCACGCGCGCUGCACUGAACAGUUCAACAAGUCUUAACCUUGGCCGAUAGGUCUGGGUAAUCUUUGAACGCUGUUCGUGAUUGGGAUAGACCUUUGCAAUUAUGGGUCUUCAACGAGGAAUUCCUAGUAAACGCAAGUCAUCAGCUUGCAUUGAUUACGUCCCUGCCCUUUGUACACACCGCCCGUCGCACCUACCGAUUGAAUGGUCCGGUGAAAUCUCGGGACGGCGGCUUGGUCGCUUGCGUCCGACUGCUGAAACUUGAUUAAACCAUNUNAUUUAGNGGAAGGUGAANUCGUANCA